GAUGAACGCUGGCGGCGUGCCUAAUACAUGCAAGUCGAGCGAACAGAUAAGGAGCUUGCUCCUUUGAAGUUAGCGGCGGACGGGUGAGUAACACGUGGGUAACCUACCUAUAAGACUGGGAUAACUUCGGGAAACCGGAGCUAAUACCGGAUAACAUUUAGAACCGCAUGGUUCUAAAGUGAAAGAUGGUUAUGCUAUCACUUAUAGAUGGACCCGCGCCGUAUUAGCUAGUUGGUAAGGUAACGGCUUACCAAGGCGACGAUACGUAGCCGACCUGAGAGGGUGAUCGGCCACACUGGAACUGAGACACGGUCCAGACUCCUACGGGAGGCAGCAGUAGGGAAUCUUCCGCAAUGGGCGAAAGCCUGACGGAGCAACGCCGCGUGAGUGAUGAAGGGUUUCGGCUCGUAAAACUCUGUUAUUAGGGAAGAACAAAUGUGUAAGUAACUGUGCACAUCUUGACGGUACCUAAUCAGAAAGCCACGGCUAACUACGUG
Molecule: ribosomal RNA, 497 nt
Filed under: uncultured bacterium
Lineage: Bacteria
Description: partial 16S ribosomal RNA
Rfam family: Bacterial small subunit ribosomal RNA
Source: RNAcentral